UAUAAAGGUUAGAGCUGAUGAGGUU
This 25-nucleotide non-coding RNA is filed under the name Cricetulus griseus (Chinese hamster). The record is from RNAcentral. Lineage: Eukaryota; Metazoa; Chordata; Mammalia; Rodentia; Cricetidae.